This 267-nucleotide long non-coding RNA is filed under the name Homo sapiens (human). Its description in RNAcentral is "non-protein coding lnc-CCDC13-2:6". The record is from RNAcentral. Lineage: Eukaryota; Metazoa; Chordata; Mammalia; Primates; Hominidae.
AGGGCCUGAAUACACAGAGCGCUGAGAGAGUGGGGCAGUGUGGUCACGGACACAGGGUUCCCCCAGACCACGCUGUCCAUCCUGUUUGUCACCUACUGUGGCGUCCAGCUGGUAAAGGAGCGUGAGCGAACCUUGGCACUGGAGGAGGAGCAGAAGCAGGACAAAGAGAAGCCGGAGUAGGAGGGAGCGGGUAGAGGGAUGGGCUCUGCUCAGCUAUUCUUGGGCCAGAUGGGGCCUGACCGAUAGAAUAAAAGACUUUUCUACAAC